Oncorhynchus nerka (sockeye salmon) is the source of this 2425-nucleotide long non-coding RNA. RefSeq lists it as uncharacterized. Lineage: Eukaryota; Metazoa; Chordata; Actinopteri; Salmoniformes; Salmonidae. The record is from RefSeq and is a predicted model, not a curated record. The transcript has 4 exons.
UUUGCUCACUCAGGGUUUGUUGUCAUUUAUUCUUAUCUCAAGUGUCUGCGGGCGGCCAUUAUCCAGAUAACCAAAUCUUCUUCAACAAGAGAAGGCUCUUUGCCACAUUUUCAUCUAGCUUCUCAGAAAGAGGCAUGCCACAGAACGUGUCAGGCAUGAGCAGUGGGCAUACCAGGCGGCGAGAGGAGUUGCAGGUUGUGAUAGUAGGUGAUGGUGGAUGUGGGAAAACCUCCCUCCUCAUGGUUUACACUAAAAAAGGACUUUCCAGAGGUCGAGAGGACUAUGACUGAUUACGGCCCCUGUCCUAUCCGAAUGCCAACCUGGUAUUGAUCUGCUAUGAUUGGUACCCCGAGGUGCAUCACUUCUGCCAUGGCGUGCCCAUUAUCCUGGUAGGAUGCAAAACAGAUCUGCGGAAAGACAAGGCCUUGGCAAGGAAACUGUGGUCCUCAGGCCAGAACCCCAUCACAUACAUCCAGGGUGAAGAGACCAAAAGGAAGAUCAAAGCUGAGCUCUACUUGGAGUGUUCAGCCAAAUACAAGGAGAAUGUGGAGGACAUAUUCAGAGAGGCUACCAAACAAGCCCUUGCAGCAACAAGGAAAUCCAGAAAGGCAAAGAGGAACGGAUUCUGUGCCCUUCUGUGACCCAAGAGAUAAUGCUAUCCACCACCGCGAGCUCCUGAUACAGACAAUACUCUAGCCCUACUCAGGGAAAACACAGAUGAUGACAGACUACUUCUCCCUACGAGUCCUCUUAUAAUAUUGUUGCUGCAUUUUACCCUUCUGCUAACCAACUUCCUUUGUUGUUCCUUCCUGCUAAUUCUUGACACAUUGUCAAAAUGUGUUUCUUUAAUAGAAAUGAACAAUGCCCUCAAGUUAUAGAACCACAAAUGGGGACAUUUGGUCUUAGAAAGUUAAGGAGACAUGAGGAAGAAGUUGAAGGUACCAUUGUAUAAUAAUUGAAGGUUCCAUUGUAUUUUUUAUUUUGAUGUAUCCAAAUCUUUUAAUUUAUACAAAAGAGAAGGUUGACUCAAACAGUAAUUCACAUAGUACAUCUCAUAGAUGUAAAAAAAAAAAACUUUAAAAAAACAUGAUUAAAUGAAGCAACAAAUCUGGAUUAGCUUGUAGAAUAUGCAUUCUUCCAUAAGCCUAGGGUUGUUAUGCAUAAUAACAAUUGCACUUUGACUCCAGUCCUUCUAAUGACAAUGAAUGUAAUCAGAUAUGACAUACACAAUAUGUAUAAUGUAUUUCCGAAAUGUUAAUGAUUGCCUAAUAAAAAGAGGUUCUCAAUCCAAUUCACUUACCUUUGGGGAGACUCAGCACAUUGUAACAGAUUUACAGUAUACGACUAUAAAACUAUUCAACCCCUUGGAUUUGGCAACAGACACAAGGCAGUAUAGUCAGAGUAAACAUAAUUAAGUGGGGCUUAAUAAGCCCUCAAACAGAACAUCUUAAAAACAUCAAAUGGCAUUUUAAAGGGGAUGUUUUAAAAAAGGCGUCAACCAUCAUCCAAUAUACUGACGCAUAAAAUAAUAAAAAAACGCAAAUAAUCAUGCCAUUAUUUUAUUAAAGUAAUAUGUGCACUUGGAUCACAUUCAAAGGUUGACGAUAAAGAUCUGAAGUUUUGCCUCCAUUUAAAUUAAUUUAGAAGUAGCUACUUGUGACUUCACAUAAAUGCAAAACAAUCAGUGCUUUACAGUAUUGUUAAAAGAAAGUACAUUAUGUUGAGGACAAUAUUUCAGCAUUUUCACAACCACAGUAUAAGAGUUCACCUAUCAUGUAACAACAGUAUGAGGAGUGUGCUUAAAAUGCAUUAACUUAUCAAAAAACCAUCAGAGCAUAUAUUUAAUUAUCAAUAAUGUUGAGUUUAAAAAGUUGAAAUAUAAAUAUUCCAACCCUGAUGGACAGAUUAAGGUCACCUGACUAAAAAAUAUCUGAAUUCUGCACUUCGCUUGCACCAUAACUAUUACAGCAGUUAAUACAUGUUAUACUCUCCUGAGGAGUUUUACUUUCAUGGAAAUUGGCCGGUUAUCAUUUGUAAAUGAAUAAUUCUAGCUACUUCACAAAAUGUUCAUCCCACACUUUUAGUGUUCCCCAGCCGCCAUAGACAAAACUUUGUGAUAUAAAUACAAAUAUCAUCUAUUUAAUGAAGAUAUCCAAAAAUAUUCAACUACAAAUUUCACACUCACAUUCAGAUCUGUUUCUGAACACAUAAGGAAGACAAUAGACAUGCAGCAAAGUAAUAAAAUAAAAAAAAGUUGCUUGAGUCCAAUCGAAUGAACAAUACAAAGCAAAUUCUCCUGACCUCUCCACAACCAUUUUAGCAAAUAGAAAAGGCCUAGAGCAGUCCAAAUCCCAAUACAAAACAUCUGUAGAAAUGAUAUAUUACUAUAUAAAGUAUCCUUUCUCAUGGUGCUCAUGCAAAUAGA